AAUAGAUACCCUGGUAGUCCACGCCGUAAACGAUGUGUGCUAGAAGUCGGGAUAACUCGGUUUCGAAGCUAACGCAUUAAGCACACCGCCUGGGGAGUACGGUCGCAAGGCUGAAACUCAAAGAAAUUGACGGGGACCCGCACAAGUGGUGGAGCAUGUGGUUUAAUUCGAUGCAACGCGAUGAACCUUACCAAGACUUGACAUACUCGGCAAAGCUAUAGAGAUAUAGUGGAGGUUAUCCGAUGUACAGGUGGUGCAUGGUUGUCGUCAGCUCGUGUCGUGAGAUGUUGGGUUAAGUCCCGCAACGAGCGCAACCCCUAUCUUUAUUUGCUAACAUUAAGUUGAGGACUAUAGAGAGACUGCCUACGCAAGUAGGAGGAAGGUGGGGAUGACGUCAAAUCAUCAUGCCCCUUAUGUCUUGGGCUACACACGUGCUACAAUGGCCGGUACAAAGGGCUGCAAACUGGUGACAGUAAGCGAAUCCCAUAAAGCCGGUCUAAGUUCGGAUUGAAGUCUGCAACUCGUA
RNAcentral lists this ribosomal RNA (526 nucleotides) under uncultured bacterium. RNAcentral's name for it is "bacterial SSU rRNA". It matches the Rfam family "Bacterial small subunit ribosomal RNA", at positions 777 to 1316 of the family's 1533-position model. The record is from RNAcentral.